Molecule: long non-coding RNA, 627 nt
Organism: Syzygium oleosum
Lineage: Eukaryota; Viridiplantae; Streptophyta; Magnoliopsida; Myrtales; Myrtaceae
Exons: 2
Source: RefSeq, a predicted model, not a curated record
CGACCCGAACAGGAAAAUUUUGUAUUGGGUCGAGUUGGGCCUUAACUUGUUUGGGUAACAGUAAAAACAAGGCUUCAGCUUAUUUUGGAUCUAUCCGAGCAUGCUUGAAACAAGCCCACCAGAAACAAACAAGAUCCAUUUGAUCUUCUUGCUCCCAAGCCCACCCGAAACCCUAUCAUCUUCUUCCAGGGCUCCGGAUCUGCAACUGGCGAUCGAGUAGUGCGACGAGGAGGCAACUGGCGGCGACGAUUGGCGUCUUCGCCGCCGACGCCUCCCUGAUUGCGGCCGGCAUCCACCUCUCCUACGCCAACGUCGCUUCUCAGCAAGCCCACGCCAAAGCUCGCAACGACUUUGUCAAGUCUCGCCUCUGGAAGCUCCUCGACGAUUGACCAUCCUGACCCGCUGCCCCUGGCCCCACCCACAAGUGACGAUUUCUCUCUUCUGAGAGGAUCAUUAGGUGCCUUUAUGAUUUUGGGUGCAUCCUGUCCAAAACGUAGGAGGAGUGACACGGUUCAGAUAUGAAGAGAUCUAAGGAAAAUCACCGUCGGCUCUGACUCGGUUUCGCGAUCAAGAUUCUGAGGGGAAAGUGAUCGUUGGCUUCAUUCAUUUGCGGAGAUUCCGGCAAUU